AGACCCGAAACCCGGUGAUCUAGCCAUGGGCAGGUUGAAGGUUGGGUAACACUAACUGGAGGACCGAACCGACUAAUGUUGAAAAAUUAGCGGAUGACCUGUGGCUGGGGGUGAAAGGCCAAUCAAACCGGGAGAUAGCUGGUUCUCCCCGAAAGCUAUUUAGGUAGCGCCUCGUGAAUUCAUCUCCGGGGGUAGAGCACUGUUUCGGCUAGGGGGCCAUCCCGGCUUACCAACCCGAUGCAAACUGCGAAUACCGGAGAAUGUUAUCACGGGAGACACACGGCGGGUGCUAACGUCCGUCGUGAAGAGGGAAACAACCCAGACCGCCAGCUAAGGUCCCAAAGUCAUGGUUAAGUGGGAAACGAUGUGGGAAGGCCCAGACAGCCAGGAUGUUGGCUUAGAAGCAGCCAUCAUUUAAAGAAAGCGUAAUAGCUCACUGGUCGAGUCGGCCUGCGCGGAAGAUGUAACGGGGCUAAACCAUGCACCGAAGCUGCGGCAGCGACGUUUAUGCGUUGUUGGGUAGGGGAGCGUUCUGUAAGCCUG
This 543-nucleotide ribosomal RNA is filed under the name Salmonella enterica subsp. enterica serovar Bareilly. Its description in RNAcentral is "partial 23S ribosomal RNA". It matches the Rfam family "Bacterial large subunit ribosomal RNA", at positions 711 to 1251 of the family's 2925-position model. RNAcentral also lists the same sequence under 2 other names. Lineage: Bacteria; Pseudomonadati; Pseudomonadota; Gammaproteobacteria; Enterobacterales; Enterobacteriaceae. The record is from RNAcentral.